GAAUCAUUCUAAUGUUUAAUCAUGAAAUACUUGUUUUUGGUAGCUAUCCAUUAAUGAAUUGUCUAUCAGGUGAUUUUUUUUCUAAAUAUUGAGAUGAGCACAACCUUUAAUAUAUUUAUAUGGUGAGUUACACUAAUUGAUUUUUGAAAGUUAAAUUAUCCUUGCAUUUCUGAGGUAAACCCAAGUUGACUAUGAUUUACUUAUUUACACAGAGCCAAAUUAUAAUUGUUAAUAUUUUCUUUAGAAUUUGUACAUCUACUUACAUAAUUUAAUUCAUCUAUAAUUUUUUUAUCUUAUACUGUUUUCUAUUUUUUGGUAUCAAGGUUAUACUUGCCCUAAAAAAUUUGUCGGGGAGUGUUCCCUCUAUUUCUGUUCUCUAGAAGAUUUUAUUUAAGAUUGGAAUACUCUGUUCUUUGAAUAUGUUGUAGAAUUCACUAAUAAAGUCAAAAUCAUCUUAGCCUGUUGUAUUUACCUGUUUGCUUGGUAGGUAAAUUUUUAAAUACCAAUUCAAUUUAUUUAACAGAUAUUAGAAAAUUCAGGAUUUCUAGUUCUUCAAUCAAUUUUGGUAAAUUAUAUUUUUCUAAGAAAGUCUACAUUUUGUCCAAAUUUUGAAUUAGCCAAAACUGUUUCUAGUUACUACUUUUAGAUCUCUAUUGUGUCUUCGUUACAUUCUUCUUUUAUUAACAAUUUCUAUUUGUACCUUUUCUUAUAUUUUCUUGAUCAGUCUUACCAAAGGUUUGUCGGUUUCUUUAAUCUUUACCAAAAAACAGCUAUUCAUUUUAUUGUUCUCUGCAUUGGAUAUUGUUUCUAUUUCAUUAUUUUCUGUUUAUAUUUUCUUUCUUCAAGUUUGUUCUGAUUUUCUUUUCUUAAGUUAGAUGUCUGCCUAGCUCAUUGAUUUAUUCCUUUAUUUUUCUUAAUAUAACCCUUAAGCUUAGAAAGAAUUUAAGCACUAUUUUAGCUUUAUGUCACAAGCUGUGAUAGUAAUCUUUUUAUUAUCAUUCAGUUCUAAAUAUUUUCUAUUUUGUUAUGUUUUCAUGACCCAUGGGAUAUUAUUUUGAAGAUUAUAUCUAAUUUCCAAACAGAUUUAUUUUAAGCUAUUUUAAAAAUUGAAUUAUAUGUUAAUUGCAUAAUGGAUGAUGGCCAGAGAACAUAGACCAACUGAGAAUAUCUUUAAAACUGUUGAAUUUAGUGAUUUCUUAUCUAGGGUCUUUGGCAAAAAGUAAAUAAAUAAAAAGAAAAUUGUUAAAUUUGGAAUAUGGUCAAUAUACAUAACUGUUCAGUGUCUAUUUAAGAGGACUAUGUAUUCUCUCAUUGUUGGGUGGGGAAUUCUAUACAUAUAAAUCAAAUAAAAAUUGUAUAACUCAAUUCUAUAUUCUCACUAAUUUUUUUUUUUUUACUGGGUCAUCUACAAGUUACUGAGAGAGCUGUUAAAUCAUUAUGAUAGUGGAUUUGUCCCCUUUGCCUAUAAUUCUGUCAGGUUUUGCUUUACAUAGUUUGAGUCUAUGCUAUUAAAUGCAUAUGGGCUUAGCUUUAUUUCUAUUCCUGAUGAAUUAAACCUUUUGUUAUUAUCAGGUAGCUAUUUUUAUCCCUAAUAAUCCUUUACAACUUAACAUCUAUUUUGUCUGAUUUUAUUUUAUUUUAUUUUAUCUUUUGGAGACAGGGCCUCAAUUUGUCGCCCAGGCUGAAGUGCAGUGGUGUGAUUUUGGCUCACUGCAGGCUCCACCUCCUGGGCUCAAGUGUUCCUCCUGUCUCAGCCUCCCAAGUAGGUGGUACUGAAUAUAAGUUCAGCUAAUUGUAGAAUUCUAGGCUAACAGUUAACUUCUCUCAGCCCUUUGGAAAUAUACUAACGUCUUCAGACUUUCAUUGUUGCUAUUGAAAAGUGUAUUCAUUUUUUUAUGGCUGUCACAAAUUAUCAUGACUUUACUGGAUUAAAAGAGCACAAAUUUAUUGUUUCAAAGUUCUGUAGGUCAAAAGUCAGGAAUGGCUCUCACUGGGCUAAAAUCAAGGUGUUGGUCAGCUGGCUUUAUUCCUUUCUGAGGGCUCUUGAGUUUGUUUCCUUGCUCAUGCAGAUGUUGGAAGAAUUCAGUUCCAUGCAGUUAAAGGACUGAGAUGAUUUGGCUGUUCUCUCUAGCUGCUUUUAAGAUCUGGCUGUUUCUUGGGUCUUGCUCUGUCACCCAGGCUGGAGUGCAGUUGCUCUAUCAUGACUCACUGCAGCCUCAAAUGCUUGGACUCAAGCAAUUCUUCAGGCUAAAAGGUUUAUGAAGAUAUAUGUCUUGUCUGGCAUCAUAUCCUGGGACCCACAAAGUGACUGAAAUACAUCUGGUGGUCAAUAUAUAUUUGCAUCUUUCAAUUUAGACCAGCCACAUUUCAAGUGCUCAAUAGCUGCAUGUAGCUAGCGGCUACAAUAUUGAACAGUGCAGCUCUGGAAAUUUAAAAAACAAAGAAAAGAUGAUUUCUAGAGCCUUCGCAUCCUAGAAACCAAGUCUAUUGGAAUUGACUCCUCAGCAAGGAUCAUGCUACAUAUUUUGAAAGAUAAAAUCAAGAGCCACAUAUUUAAUGGACCAAGCAAAAUCAAGCCACCCCGCUAAGUACCUCUCCAUAAUUUUUACUAAAUUUCUUUUCCUCUUUUGGAGACACCUAAAGCCAGAAAUCUUCAUUAGUGACUGAGGAGUAGAGGGGGCAAUAUAGGAAUUAUAUAUGCAAUGUUUUUGUACAUCUGAAAAGAGACAUGGGAGUUACACAUAGAACUCCUAUGGCUGAAGAGGAUCUUAAGAUGUUAUGCACUUCACCUGCCAAAUGAUACCUAAUUCAUUCACUAGCAGGCUAUAGGAAAUAAAGGGAUGAAAGAGAAAAGACCAACUUUCUUAAAUUUAGGAAAAUGCCCUUUUAAUUAAGGGAUGAGGAUGGUUCAGUGCUGUUGGCAAUAAUUUUGUUGAGAUAAGUAAGGCAAAAAAAAAAAAAAAAGCCUCAACAUGUUCUCUGCAGAUAGGACACAGAAACACAUAAAGGAGAAAAACAGUGAACCGUAGUGCUUACUGCUCACACUUUUCAUCAAUGUAAAAUGCAUCAGCAACAAAAGAUACGAAGGAAAAGUAAAAAAUACCACUCUUUCCAAAAUACUUUGUGACCUGGCUUAUCAUUUGUGACCUCUAAAUCACAGUCACAAAUGAUCCCUUCCCUACAACAACAAAUGCUAUUAGUGGAAGAAUCUACUGAUGUCAGCUCACCAAAUCCCACAGAGUAGCCCCAAUGAUGAGGCAUUGACACCUACCGCAAGGUACUGAGUACAUUCUUUGAAAGCCAACUCUGCAUACCACAUUGCAGAACUGGUAUGGGACUUGCUGAAACAGCCUAUGGCUCACAGGUUGCCUGUG
Molecule: long non-coding RNA, 3374 nt
Organism: Pongo pygmaeus (Bornean orangutan)
Lineage: Eukaryota; Metazoa; Chordata; Mammalia; Primates; Hominidae
Exons: 6
Source: RefSeq, a predicted model, not a curated record